This 107-nucleotide small nucleolar RNA is filed under the name Dipodomys ordii (Ord's kangaroo rat). RNAcentral's name for it is "Small nucleolar RNA SNORA73 family (ENSDORG00000022309.2)". Lineage: Eukaryota; Metazoa; Chordata; Mammalia; Rodentia; Heteromyidae. The record is from RNAcentral.
UCUGCAGUGUUGCAGAAGAGCUAUGCCUUCAAUCUGUGCAUACAUAUCCCUAGAACUUGUCAGAGUCUUGGACAAUGACUGAGGAGGCAAAACAGGCAGAUCCAGAC